Molecule: long non-coding RNA, 414 nt
Filed under: Androctonus crassicauda
Lineage: Eukaryota; Metazoa; Arthropoda; Arachnida; Scorpiones; Buthidae
Source: RNAcentral
UGGUAGGCAGAUCCAGUUAGAUUUAAAAAAGCAGUAUUUUAUGCAUGCAUACUGCUGUAGAGCAUACUGUACAGCUCAGAAAAAGAGGACUACCCAAGGAAAUGCAAAAAGUAAUCAAAUAUAUAGACAAAUGCAUGGAUAUAAGAAAGAAUUUAUACUAAAUAUAAAAAAUAAAGUAGAGAAAAGUAUCAAUACAAACAACAACCUGCAACAAAGACAAAUAGCCCAGCAGCAAGAAAUGCACAAGAAAAUAAAGAAUAUAAAGAAUACAUAAAAGUUCCAUUUUGGCUAUCUAAAUACCCUGUAGUAAAACAAACCCUAAAAUUAAGAGGAAAAAGGAUAGCCAUCGAAAGAGCAGCAACUAACAUUAACAUAAUCAUAUAUACAUAACCCAUUGCUUCUUAAAUGUCCAAC